AUUGAACGCUGGCGUCCGGCCUAACACAUGCAAGUCGAGCGAGCGGCGGACGGGUGCGUAAUGUAUGGGGACUGCCCGAUCGAGGGGGAUAACUACUGGAAACGGUAGCUACUACCGCAUACUAUCGGAUAACCCAUAUGGGAUUAGCUAGUAGGUGAGGUAAUGGCUCACCUAGUCGACGAUCCCUCGCUGGUCUGAGAGGCUGAUCAGCAACACUGGGACUGAGACACGGCCCAGACUCCUACGGAGGCAGCAGUGGGGAAUAUGGCACAAUGGGCGAAAGCCUGAUGCAGCCAUGCCGCGUGUAUGAAGAAGGCCCUAGGGUUGUAAAGUACGUUCAGUCGGGAGGCGUUACCGACAGAAGAAGCACCGGCUAACUCCGUGUCAGCAGCCGCGGUAAUUC
RNAcentral lists this ribosomal RNA (403 nucleotides) under uncultured bacterium. RNAcentral's name for it is "partial 16S ribosomal RNA". It matches the Rfam family "Bacterial small subunit ribosomal RNA", at positions 30 to 526 of the family's 1533-position model. The record is from RNAcentral.